Marmota monax (woodchuck) is the source of this 2223-nucleotide RNA transcript. It is a transcript of the gene named pyridine nucleotide-disulphide oxidoreductase domain 2, with no coding region annotated. NCBI's taxonomy places the organism in Eukaryota, Metazoa, Chordata, Mammalia, Rodentia, Sciuridae. The transcript has 17 exons. The record is from RefSeq and is a predicted model, not a curated record.
GCAGCGCGUGGAGGACCUGCGGGCCAGGCCGGGCCAGCGGCGCUCCUCCCCUCCGCCUCCCCACUGCCCCCGCUGCCUGGGGCGGCGCGAAGGGCUGGCCGCCCGCGGGUUCCUGGAGGCAGAAAUGGCUGCGAGCGGCCGGGGUCUCGGUAGGGCCUGGGGUGCCUCUCGCUGCCCCGCUUGGAGACAUGCUCACUGGGAAGCUGGCGGACGCCCGAGGCCUGAGUACGAUGCGGUGGUGAUAGGAGCAGGACACAAUGGGCUGGUGGCUGCGGCGUACCUGCAGAGACUGGGGGUGAACACGGCGGUCUUCGAGAGGCGCCAUGUGAUCGGGGGUGCAGCAGUCACUGAGGAGAUCAUUCCAGGGUUUAAGUUCUCCCGUGCAUCCUACCUCCUCAGCCUUCUGAGGCCACAGAUUUACACAGACCUGGAGCUGAAGAAACACGGACUGAGGCUUCAUCUCCGAAAUCCCUACUCCUUCACCCCCAUGUUGGAAGAGGGCACAGGGGGCAACGUGCCCAGAUCCCUUCUUCUGGGAACAGACAUGACACAAAACCAGAAGCAAAUUGCCCAGUUCUCACAGAAGGAUGCCCAGGCCUUUCCCAGAUACGAGGAGUUCAUGAAUCGCUUGGUAUCAGCCAUUGACCCUCUGCUGGACGCAGCCCCAGUGGACACCGCGGCCUUCCAGCGCGGCUCGAUGCUGCAGAGGCUCAAGUUACUGUCCACCCUCAAGCCCCUGCUGAAGGCUGGUCGCACCCUGGGAGCUCAGCUUCCCCAGUACUACCAGGUGUUCACAGCUCCCAUCACCAGGGUGCUGGAUCAGUGGUUUGAGUCUGAGCCCCUGAAAGCCACUCUAGCAACGGAUGCUGUUAUUGGAGCCAUGACAAGUCCUCGCACUCCGGGCAGUGGGUACGUGCUGCUGCAUCAUGUGAUGGGUGGUCUGGAGGGGAUCCAGGGUGCCUGGGGCUACGUCCAGGGUGGCAUGGGUGCCCUCUCUGAGGCCAUUGCAAGAUCGGCCAUUGCACAUGGAGCAAGUAUCUUCACUGAGAAGACAGUGGCUAGGGUGCAGGUGAAUGGCGAAGGCCACGUUCGAGGAGUGGUGCUGCAGGACGGCCUGGAGGUGAGGAGCAGAGUGGUGCUGUCCAGCGCAUCCCCACAGAUCACCUUCCUGAAGCUGACCCCACAGGAGUGGCUUCCAGAGGGGUUUGCAGAGAGAAUUGCUCAGCUGGACACCCAGUCUCCUGUUACCAAGAUCAAUGUGGCUGUGGACAGGCUGCCCAACUUCCUGGCAGCACCCAAUACUCCCACGGGCCAGCCGCUGCCCCAUCACCAGUGCUCCAUCCACCUGAACUGUGAAGACACCCUCCUCCUCCAUCAGGCCUUUGAAGAUGCCACGGAUGGCCUGCCGUCUCACAGGCCCAUGAUUGAGCUCUGCAUCCCUUCCUCACUGGACCCCACCCUGGCUCCCCCUGGCUGCCAUGUCGUCUCCCUCUUCACACAGUACACGCCCUACACGCUGGCUGGAGGCAAGGUCUGGGAUGAGCAGGAGAAAAAUGCCUACGCAGACAAAGUGUUGGACUGCAUCGAGGCCUAUGCCCCUGGCUUCAAGGGCUCUGUGGUGGGCAGAGACAUCCUCACACCUCCUGAUCUGGAGAGAAUCUUUGGGCUUCCUGGAGGGAACAUAUUCCACUGUGCCAUGACCCUGGACCAGCUCUACUUCGCCCGCCCAGUGCCCCUGCACUCCAGCUACCGCUGCCCUCUCCAAGGCCUGUAUCUGUGUGGAAGUGGGGCCCAUCCUGCUAACUGGUUGGGAUGAGGCUGCUGCUUCCUACUGACACUUCCUCUGAGCUCUGCGGGCCUCAGCCUCUUAGAAAGGGCUCUACUCACACGUCUUCCCCCUCCAACCUCAUGCUGGAGGAGGUGUUAUGGGAGCCGCUGGACGAAAUGCAGCCCAUGUGGUCUUGCAGGACCUCAAGAGCUCAGGACACUGAACCAACUCUGACGCAGGACAAAAAUCAGCCCUGAGCCUCUCUGUCAGACCUGGGCCCGGCUGCCCAGGAAGCUGUGCUCCAGUGGACACUGCUUGAGGCAGCCAAGUUCACAAGACUCAAGCCAUUAUUUUAGAAGAAAUGUGCAAGUUACAUGUAGCACAAGUUAACCCGUGCCCCAUGCCUCCAUGAAUGAGCUGGUUUGUUUUAUUAAAAAAACAAUGUUUUAUACAAA